GGAAUUGAUUCAACAUCGCUGGGAAUUGGGAAGGGAAGAAAGAGUACGCUGUAAAAAUACAUUUUUCAUCAAAGACAUAUAUACAUAUUACCUUUGGGAAAAAUAAAAUACUUUGGAACAUUUAAUUGGAUUGGCUUUAUAUGACAACAUUCCAAAUUACAUGUCAUUGUCUGAGCAGAGUUCUAUUAUUUGAAGACUUUAUUGAUCAUUCAGUGUCCAGAAUGAAGAAAACUAG
Molecule: long non-coding RNA, 235 nt
Filed under: Homo sapiens (human)
Lineage: Eukaryota; Metazoa; Chordata; Mammalia; Primates; Hominidae
Description: non-protein coding lnc-PABPC5-4:1
Source: RNAcentral